This 406-nucleotide ribosomal RNA is filed under the name uncultured bacterium. RNAcentral's name for it is "partial 16S ribosomal RNA". It matches the Rfam family "Bacterial small subunit ribosomal RNA", at positions 30 to 526 of the family's 1533-position model. The record is from RNAcentral.
AUUGAACGCUGGCGGCAGGCCUAACACAUGCAAGUCGAACGAGUGGCGGACGGGUGAGUAAUGUCUGGGAAACUGCCUGAUGGAGGGGGAUAACUACUGGAAACGGUAGCUAAUACCGCAUACCAUCGGAUGUGCCCAGAUGGGUUUAGAUUGUUGGUGGGGUAACGGCUCACCAAGGCGACGAUCCCUAGCUGGUCUGAGAGGAUGACAAGGCACACGUGAACUGAGACACGGUCCAGACUCCGACGGGAGGCAGCAGUAGGGAAUAUUGCACAAUGGGGGAAAGCCUGAUGGAGCCAUGCCGCGUGUAGGAAGAAGGUCUUCGGGUUGUAAAGUACUUUCAGCGGGGAGGCGUUACCCGCACAGUAAGCACCGGCUAACUCCGUGCCAGCAGCCGCGGUAAUAC